This 716-nucleotide small RNA is filed under the name Pan troglodytes (chimpanzee). Its description in RNAcentral is "retained intron". Lineage: Eukaryota; Metazoa; Chordata; Mammalia; Primates; Hominidae. The record is from RNAcentral.
UAAAAAUUAAACACCUAAAAAGAUUAUUAAACUUCUUCCAUGUAUAGCACAUUAGGCAAGCUAAUUGAAAAUUUGGAGGAAGUAGGCUAGAGAUUUUUCUAAAAUUUUACUAGUUUUCCCUGAAAGUUAAUAAUUUAAAUAUCAUUUAGCCAAAGUAUGUUACUACUAAAAGUGACUGUUCUAAGGCUGUUUGUGUGAAGUAUUAAAUAUAUGUUCUUUUCCUCAAGGCUUUAAUUAGUAUCUUUUGGCCUUUUUAUGCUUUUGUUAUUUGAUUAGCUUAAAUUUUUCUUUUCUGAGUGUUCAGUCAAGUUAUCUGUACUGACCAGAAGAGGAAUUUCAUCUUUUGCUUUCUAUUUAUUACUUGAACAUUACUUUAAAGUGACUUAUAAUUGGAGACUGACAAAUUUGUGUUUUCUUCAAACAGAUGAAAACUUUAUUCUCAAACAUGACAGAGCGUUCCUUUUAUCAAUGGCAAAUCGAGGGAAACAUACCAAUGGUUCCCAGUUUUUCAUAAAGAGUGUUACACCGUGCGCUCCACAGUACCACAAAGCCUGCUCCACACCUGGAUGGGGUGCAUGUCGUCUUUGGACUGGUUAUUUCUGGUUUUGAAGUAAUCGAACAAAUUGAAAAUCUGAAGACCGAUGCUGCAAGCAGACCAUAUGCAGAUGUGCGAGUUAUUGACUGUGGAGUACUUGCCACAAAAUCAAUAAAAGAUG